GUUGAAAGAGAAUUAGGAGAGAGAGGAAUCCGAACACACUUCGGCGGCCUCCCUUAGCGGCGAUGGGUGGUGAACGGGAAGAAAGUGAGAAAGAGAAAGCUAAUGGGGGUUGCGGCGACGCCAUGGCGGCCCUACGGCGGUGUCACGCGUCUUCACCACACCAUGAUCUGGGUCGAGUUCAAUUUUGAGGCACGCAAAAUGUACAUCAAAGUCAUUUGAUGGCGGUACGCGUGCACUUGAGAGGAGUAAACUUAUUUCAAAUGGAACCAAUGCAACCCGAUUUCCGACGGUUCGGAUCCGGUCAUUCUAGCGACGGACGUGAAUCAUUUCGGAUAUUUUCAGAGAGUCACCGUCCGUCAGUUCAUUGUGUUCGUCGGUAGAACCGUCGCUAAACAAACGCCACCUGAUCAACGCCACACCGUCCAACCCGAAGUAAACCCUGAUGAAAAAGCGAGUGGCUCCUCGGGAACCGAAACUGAAGAUACCGUGCUUGGACUGUUGUAUGAUUUGCUUCAAAAAGAAGUGAUUGCUUUGAGGAAAGCUGGUCACGAAAAGGAUCAAAGCAUUAAAGACAAAGAUGACGCCAUCGAGAUGUUAGCAAAGAAAGGAGACACUUUAACCAAGGCUAUGGAAGUUGAAGCUAAAAAGAUGAGACGUGAGGUAGCUGCAAUGGAGAAGGAGGUAGCUGCUAGCGUAUCGACAAAGAACAGGAUAAUCGGGCUAAACGGUUUGCGAACGUCAAGAACACCUCUCAGCUUC
This is a long non-coding RNA of Helianthus annuus (common sunflower), 759 nucleotides long. RefSeq lists it as uncharacterized. NCBI's taxonomy places the organism in Eukaryota, Viridiplantae, Streptophyta, Magnoliopsida, Asterales, Asteraceae. The transcript has 3 exons. The record is from RefSeq and is a predicted model, not a curated record.